CAGACCUCAAUGACACUCUACCUGAGCCGGUGGCCCUCGGCAUCGACCUCGGUGUCAUGAAGAACAUCCAAGAUUAUAUGGUCGAGAAGCUCAGCGUCGACAAGAGCAUCAUCCUAGAGCUCUGCAUCAUCCUCUACAAGCAAGUACCGAACCACCAUGGCCAUGCCACUGGCCAUUGUGCACCAAUUUGACGACAAUGAUUUCCACAGCUUUGUUCAUGGAUGGCUGGCUUAUGAAAAGCUCACGCCGACGCCUCCGGUGUGGCUUCCCCUACGCCUCCAGCAUAGGGUUCUUGUACAUGCGAAAGUGCAUGAUUUUUCGAUGGUUGUCUAGCUGCAGUUGUCUCCCCAUGUAAUGGCAUCAAGUUCAGAGCGCCCCAACUGCCUCUCCUUCGACCGUGGUUCAGGUAGUGGCUCGGUCUCCACUGUACUCUAUCCCUUGCUCUAUGGUGCCUGGCCAUUGUGCUUAGUCCAUGCUGUGA
Molecule: long non-coding RNA, 481 nt
Organism: Triticum aestivum (bread wheat)
Lineage: Eukaryota; Viridiplantae; Streptophyta; Magnoliopsida; Poales; Poaceae
Exons: 5
Source: RefSeq, a predicted model, not a curated record